UAAAAGGGUGCCUGCCGUACUGAGUGGCACUGGGGGCUUUGCCUCCUGGGGUAUGGCCAUCAAGACAUACCCGGCACAUAAUUUUUAAACACAGAAGGAAGUUCGUAUGCCUUGCGCCCGGACUCCUUC
Small nuclear RNA from Homarus americanus (American lobster), 129 nucleotides. RefSeq annotates it as U11 spliceosomal RNA. The record is from RefSeq and is a predicted model, not a curated record. Lineage: Eukaryota; Metazoa; Arthropoda; Malacostraca; Decapoda; Nephropidae. The transcript has a single exon.